RNAcentral lists this long non-coding RNA (1611 nucleotides) under Sus scrofa (pig). Its description in RNAcentral is "lncRNA (ENSSSCG00070027379.1)". Lineage: Eukaryota; Metazoa; Chordata; Mammalia; Artiodactyla; Suidae. The record is from RNAcentral.
CCAGGACUUUAUGAAAGAAAAAGCAAUGAUGGUAAAUCUCUAGACUAUCAUCCACUUUCUGGGAUUCCUGCCUCGAAAACGUGAUGUUUGAUUUCCAAAUACAAGCCAGAGUGUACAUGGUUCCCAAGUGUACUAAGUAGGUGAGAAGCUGAAAUCCUAAAAUAUUCAUCCUCCAACUUUCUCCAGUGUGUAGUCUAUCUUUGGCUCAUCAAGAAUGUAGUGCAGUCUUGGAGUUCCCGUCGUGGCUCAGUGGUUAAGGAAUCCGACUAGGAACCAUGGGGUUUCGGGUUCAAUCCCUGGCCUUGCUCAGUGGGUUGGGGAUCUGGCGUUGCCGUGAGCUGUGGUGUAGGUCGCAGAUGCAGCUCGGAUCCCGUGUUGCUGUGGCUCUGGAGUAGGCUGGUGGCUACAGCUCCGAUUUGACCCCUAGCCUGGGAACCUCCAUAUGCCGCGGGAGCGGCCCAAGAAAUAACAAAAAGACAAAAAAUAAAAAAACAAAACAAAACAAACAAACAAACAAAAAAAUGUGGUGCAAUGAGUUCCCGUUGUGGCUCAGUGGUAAUGAACUCGAUUAGUAUCCAUAAAGAUGCAAGUUCGAUCCCUGGCCUCACUCAGUGGGUUAAGGAUUUGGCUUUGCCCUGAGCUGUGGUGUAGUUCACAGAUGAGGCUUGGAUCUGGUGUUGCUGUGCCUGUGGCGUAAGGCAGCAGUUACAGCUCCAGUUCAAACCUAGCCUGGGAACUUCCAUAUGCCAUGGGUACAGCCCUAAAAAGAUAAAAAGAUUAAAAAAAAAAAAAAAAAAAGAAUGUGGUGUAGUGGGUUAAGGAUCUGGUGUUGUCUUUGCAGCAGCAUGGGUUUGAUCCCCGGCCCGGAGCAGUGGGUUAAGGAGCAGGCAUUGCCACAGCUGUGUCAUAGGUUGCAGCUGAAGCUGUCCUGGGAACUUCCAUAUGUCACAGUGCACUGCCCCCCCCAAAAGAAUGGCCUGAACAAUCACUAUGGUGACAUUAAUUUUUAUCUGCAGCUCUCUGAGCUCGUCUCUGUGCAGCAGAAUUUGAGCAGCUUUAUGAGAAUGCAUUUCCUGUGUCAAAACCAAGAAGAUGAUCAUCUAAAGCAACAGGCAAACCUUCUUUUGUUUCAUCUGCUCCAGCAGCUGCAUCCUGUGUCAGGAACUCCUGGACCACCAUAUGAAUUGCCUCAACGGUUACCAGUGUAGCUGGCAGGGUUGCAGUGGUACUGGCUUCUGGCUUGGUCCCCCAGACUUCCACCAGGAGAGGAGAGGCGUGGAGUGAGAGAGGCAGGCACCAACCACGUGCUGAGAGGAGCCUGUUUAUUCUUUGCCUUCCUCAACUCGCGUGAGUUUCACCUCUGCUCCUUCUAAGGUACCCACGGUCAUGAUCACACCCUGGACUUUGCAUCGCCCAGGGCUCCUUCAUUUCUUACAUCUGUGACCACAUCCUCUCAUCCUUCCACAUUUUUUACCCAGUUGCUACCACUAGACCUGUUCUUCAAAUUUGUUAAAACUGCCAAGCCCCUGGCCUCCCUGUUGUCCCCCUUUCUAAUCACUUUUUCUCUUCUAAGUUCCUUUCCUGCCCAAUAAAGACCCAAUGCCUUCACCA